GACGAACGCUGGCGGCGUGCUUAACACAUGCAAGUCGAACGGAAAGGCCCCUUUGGGGGUACUCGAGUGGCGCACGGGUGAGUAACACGUGAGUAACCUGCCCUUGUCUUCGGGAUAACUUUAGGAAACUGGGGCCAAUACCGGCUAGGAAUCCUUGCUGCAUGGUGGGGGUUGGAAAGCUUCGGCGGUUUUGGAUGGACUUGCGGCUUAUCAGCUUGUUGGUGGGGUAGUGGCUUACCAAGGCUUCGACGGGUAGCCGGCCUGAGAGGGCGACCGGCCACAUUGAGACUGAGAUACGGCCCAGGCGCCGACGGGAGGCAGCAGUGGGGAAUAUUGCACAAUGAGCGGAGGCCUGAUGCAGCAACGCCGCGGGCGGGAAAACGGCCUUCGGGUUGAAAACCGCUUUCAGCAGGGGCGAAGCUUGUGGUGACGGUACCUGCAGAAGAAGCACCGGCUAACUACGUG
RNAcentral lists this ribosomal RNA (465 nucleotides) under uncultured bacterium. RNAcentral's name for it is "partial 16S ribosomal RNA". It matches the Rfam family "Bacterial small subunit ribosomal RNA", at positions 28 to 507 of the family's 1533-position model. The record is from RNAcentral.